Molecule: long non-coding RNA, 1093 nt
Organism: Megalobrama amblycephala (Wuchang bream)
Lineage: Eukaryota; Metazoa; Chordata; Actinopteri; Cypriniformes; Xenocyprididae
Exons: 4
Source: RefSeq, a predicted model, not a curated record
UUUAAUCAAUGAAGCACGCUCCACAGAAAGCGCGCGAAGGUGGCUCGUGAAACGGCGCGCGCCAUUUAUGAAACGCAAACACAAUAGGACGAUGUAUGAUUUUAAAAUGUUACAAAAGUUUUCAAAGCAAUAAAAUAAUAAACAAAUAUUGAUUUGUGAGAGAAUGUACGUCGUAUCAGUCGUUUUAACGCGUCGCGACUGUUAAAUUAGUCAAGAGACUGAUAUUUACCUCAGAGAAUCUCCCGCCGAUGGACAUCAUGAAGUAAACACGGUGUUUCGACUGAAACUACAGUUAAUCACGAAUCUGCAACUGGAUUUUGAAUAGCAACGCUGAGGCUUUGUUCUUGAAGAGCUGUCUGUCAGACCACACGCGACAGGAUUGACUUCAUAAACGCUCGGAGUCUCCGGUGUCCCACGGCCAGGACGAUGGGCGACAGCGCGAUGAAGAAACACUCACUGGAGAACCAAAAACAUGAACCAACUUGCUCUCAGCCAGAGCAUGAGCUCCCAUGGGACGCUUCCCACAGAAUCAUGGCCAUCCGUGAAGAUCAUUAGUUCAGGAAAUGACAUCAUCAUGGCAUAAUUAAAGUUUGGGUCUUACAUAGUAGGUCUUGUUGGUCCUGAAACAACCAGUCGGAUUUGUACACUAGAUUUGUGAACAUUCAGGUCAUCUAUAUGCUAGUGUCCCAAUAAAAGAAUUAACUUUAUUUUUAUUAGAUAUUUAAAGUCUCUGUCGAGAAAACGAACCACAACUAUUAAUGACAUCAUCUUGCACUGGGGGGCGUAUCCAUUUUUUUUAUCCGGUAAGUGCAACAACACAGAAAAUGCAAUCGUCAAGCCACUUUGUGGAUGCAAAUGUUGGUUGGUUGGUGUUUUAACACUUCCUUGGCUAUUUUUAUAUAAUGUUUAUAAAACUUGCUUUAGAUAAAAACAGGAUUCACUGAUUUUGUACUAAAGUGUUUGCAGAGUUAUAUAAUUUCCUAAGAGAACUUAAACCAUAAUAAUUUAAGAGAUAUUGGACUCUGGCAUGAGAAGCACAGCGAUGGAUCUUUAUUUGAAAAUAAGAACGUCCUAUAUGUAUACAUGAUCUGAU